Amblyraja radiata (thorny skate) is the source of this 160-nucleotide long non-coding RNA. RefSeq lists it as uncharacterized. The record is from RefSeq and is a predicted model, not a curated record. NCBI's taxonomy places the organism in Eukaryota, Metazoa, Chordata, Chondrichthyes, Rajiformes, Rajidae. The transcript is spliced from 3 exons.
AGGCGGCUGUGGAGGCUAAGAUAUGGUAUUUUUAAUGGAGAGAUUGAUAGAGUCUUGCUUAGUAAGGGGGACAAAGGUUGCAGGGAGAAGGCAGGAGAAUGGGGUUUGCAGGGAGAGAUAGAUCAGCCAUGAUUGAAUGGCGGAGUAGACUUGCUGGGCC